AAUAAGUGUAAUUUUACACCGUUUAUGUCCAACGUUGACUGUUCGUCUUAUUUGAAAAUUUAUUAUUAUUAUUAUUAUUAUUAUUAUUAUUAUUAUUAUUAGAUGAUAAAACAUGAAUAUUAUUUUAUGUGUAACUAAUUUUUUUAAAUUUCUCAUUAAUUUUUCAAAUAAGACGGACGAUUAAACAUUGUACACGGAUACCCACAACUGCAAUUAUU
This 218-nucleotide microRNA precursor is filed under the name Oryza sativa Indica Group (long-grained rice). RNAcentral's name for it is "MIR812 microRNA precursor family". It matches the Rfam family "MIR812 microRNA precursor family". Lineage: Eukaryota; Viridiplantae; Streptophyta; Magnoliopsida; Poales; Poaceae. The record is from Rfam by way of RNAcentral.